RNAcentral lists this ribosomal RNA (433 nucleotides) under uncultured bacterium. RNAcentral describes it as "partial 16S ribosomal RNA". It matches the Rfam family "Bacterial small subunit ribosomal RNA", at positions 29 to 507 of the family's 1533-position model. The record is from RNAcentral.
AACGAACGCUGGCGGCAUGCCUAACACAUGCCAGUCGAACGAGCCCUUCGGGUCUAGUGGCGCACGGGUGCGUAACGCGUGGGAACCUGCCCUUAUGUUCGGAAUAACUCUCCGACAGGGGUGCCAAUACCGGAUAAUGGCUACUGACCAAAGAUUUAUCGACUUUGGAUGGGCACGCGUUGGAUUAGCUAGUUGGUAGGGUAAAAGACUACCAAGGCGACGAUCCAUAGCUGGUCUGAGAGGAUGAUCAGCCACACUGGGACUGAGACACGGCCCAGACUCCUACGGGAGGCAGCAGUGGGGAAUAUUGGACCAUGGGCGAAAGCAUGAUCCAGCAAUGCCGCGUGAGUGAUGAAGGCCUUAGGGUUGUAAAGCUCUUGUACCCGGGAUGAUAAUGACAGUACCGGGAGAAUAAGCUCCGGCUAACUCCGUG